CUCAAUAAUACAAGUAGCAUUCCCUUUUCCAAAAUUUCCCAUCCUCUUCCAAAUACUUUCCAUUUUCUCCACCUACCAAAAACUUCCUUUCAACAAUUGCUUCAUCCUAAUAGUUGAAGAUGAUGUUUAUUCAUUUGGCAAAAAAAAUUACGGUGCAAUCUGAUUGGUCUCUUGUCAGAGUUAUAUUUUUAUUUUCAACGGCCGUGAUUUCCUUGAUUAAAUAUGUUCCUAAGGCACUGUUACUCAACGAGUAUGAUCUUCACGGCUGGAAAACCAAGGUGUGUGCUAAGCGGAAAAACAUUCCCGGAAUGUAGAAAUAUCAUGGGAGAAACACCUAUGCAUUGGAGUCCAGGAGAGUGUAUCGUAGACCUGGUUAUGGGUAAGCAAAUACCGUAAACUUUAAAAACAUGGAUUCUAAUGAGUAUAAGUGAAAAACAAAGUAUAUUUUCUGAAAUCAAACAGUAUUUAUUGCAAAUGAAUUCACAUGUGAUAUGAAUAGAGAUGAUAUACACAACUAGAGGAAGACAACAUUUGUUUGGUAGGAACAUAGAUGAUAUGUACAACAAAAAAAAGACAACAUUUGUAUGAUAGGAAUAAAGAUGAUAUACACAACACAUGUACUCUAAGUUCGCAUUUUCAGAUCAUGUUGAAUGU
Lathyrus oleraceus (garden pea) is the source of this 654-nucleotide long non-coding RNA. RefSeq lists it as uncharacterized. Lineage: Eukaryota; Viridiplantae; Streptophyta; Magnoliopsida; Fabales; Fabaceae. The transcript is spliced from 4 exons. The record is from RefSeq and is a predicted model, not a curated record.